UCAAUACGCACCUCAUAGACCCCUUAAGGGCUGUCAAGUACCAGAUUAGCAGUCGUUUCUUCCCCGGAAGGUAUCAGAAUCAGAGGUUCCUACUACUCCUUUUUUUUGUCUUUCCAUGCCCCUUGGCAGUCCUCAUUCCAUCUGACCAUUUGAUUUCUUUCUUUUUUCGUUUGUUUAUGGUUCAGGCGUUUCUAGUACUGUUCCUUUUUUU
Molecule: long non-coding RNA, 211 nt
Filed under: Lathyrus oleraceus (garden pea)
Lineage: Eukaryota; Viridiplantae; Streptophyta; Magnoliopsida; Fabales; Fabaceae
Description: Pisum sativum (pea) long non-coding RNA (PSAT_LNC021628)
Source: RNAcentral